UAAUUUUGACACGCCUUAUUCCUUGUAGACCUAAACGAUGCAGGCUUUAUGUACCCUGAGCGUUCAGUCUGUUACUACGGCUAUUGAACGAAGCGACUCACUUCUUAACGACGUUUUGUAUAAUAAUACACUUUAUAAUUUACAAAAUAAGGUUUAAAAUCAGUCGCAAUGAAUAACUGAUGUACUUGUGUGUGUGUAACGUUCGUGUGCAGCCCUGCGCCGAUGCAGUAAACCCUAGGUCAGUACCCGCAUGCACUCAAGUGAAUGCAUUCGCGUCCCAACGGAUCAAAAACUAAAAAUCAAAUUUUAGCUUUAAAAAAAAUAAAAAAAUCGUGUUUUGAAAAUGUCAGUUAACAAUUCCGUAAUAUAUGAAAGUGUUAGGAUAUAUAUUUUGAAUCCUUUGUGUGACGCCAUGUUGUUUCGAGAUAAAUAAAAUUCAAAAUGGCGUUUUUUUGGCGUGAUGUGAUCAUUUCAUCACAAUACUCAACU
This is a long non-coding RNA of Melitaea cinxia (Glanville fritillary), 489 nucleotides long. RefSeq lists it as uncharacterized. The record is from RefSeq and is a predicted model, not a curated record. The transcript has 3 exons. NCBI's taxonomy places the organism in Eukaryota, Metazoa, Arthropoda, Insecta, Lepidoptera, Nymphalidae.